UAGGGAAUCUUCGGCAAUGGACGAAAGUCUGACCGAGCAACGCCGCGUGAGUGAAGAAGGUUUUCGGAUCGUAAAACUCUGUUGUUAGAGAAGAACAAGGACGUUAGUAACUGAACGUCCCCUGACGGUAUCUAACCAGAAAGCCACGGCUAACUACGUGCCAGCAGCCGCGGUAAUACGUAGGUGGCAAGCGUUGUCCGGAUUUAUUGGGCGUAAAGCGAGCGCAGGCGGUUUCUUAAGUCUGAUGUGAAAGCCCCCGGCUCAACCGGGGAGGGGCAUUGGAAACUGGGAGACUUGAGUGCAGAAGAGGAGAGUGGAAUUCCAUGUGUAGCGGUGAAAUGCGUAGAGAUAUGGAGGAACACCAGUGGCGAAGGCGGCUCUCUGGUCUGUAACUGACGCUGAGGCUCGAAAGCGUGGGGAGCAAACAGG
This 429-nucleotide ribosomal RNA is filed under the name Gemmatimonadota bacterium. RNAcentral's name for it is "Gemmatimonadetes bacterium partial 16S ribosomal RNA". It matches the Rfam family "Bacterial small subunit ribosomal RNA", at positions 355 to 776 of the family's 1533-position model. Lineage: Bacteria; Pseudomonadati; Gemmatimonadota. The record is from RNAcentral.